CCUUCGAUAGCUCAGUUGGUAGAGCGGUGGACUGUAGCGUGUACGACUGAAAUCCAUAGGUCGCUGGUUCAAAUCCGGCUCGAAGGA
RNAcentral lists this transfer RNA (87 nucleotides) under Melitaea cinxia (Glanville fritillary). Its description in RNAcentral is "misc RNA ENSMCXG00005023708.1". It matches the Rfam family "tRNA". Rfam says of the family: Transfer RNA (tRNA) molecules are approximately 80 nucleotides in length. Their secondary structure includes four short double-helical elements and three loops (D, anti-codon, and T loops). Lineage: Eukaryota; Metazoa; Arthropoda; Insecta; Lepidoptera; Nymphalidae. The record is from RNAcentral.